This 3847-nucleotide ribosomal RNA is filed under the name Eutreptiella braarudii. RNAcentral describes it as "partial large subunit ribosomal RNA". It matches the Rfam family "Eukaryotic large subunit ribosomal RNA", at positions 55 to 2416 of the family's 3401-position model. Lineage: Eukaryota; Euglenozoa; Euglenophyceae; Eutreptiales; Eutreptiaceae. The record is from RNAcentral.
GGAGGAGACAGCAAUCGCGAUGGCUUCAGUAAUGGCGAAUGAACCAGAUUGACACGGUCUACCCGUAUCGUUGUUGGUCACCUGAUGCGGUGAGCACUGGGUGCACUCCGGGAUGCAAUGCUGGCAUGGGGAUGGCUGUCACGGCUGCACAGACCUACUAUGGCGCCGAUCCAGAGUCAGAGUGGCCUGGGAUGGUCCGCGAUACCUGGGCUACAGCCCUCCUGUCAAGAGGACUGGUCGGUGUUCUUAGCCAUGGUGUGCACACACGCCAGACCCUGGAGUAGAGCUGCUUGGGACUGUAGGUCAAACGGCCAGGCAUGUCCGUGGCAAGGCUGCAUACAGACAUGGGACCGAUAGCUAACAAGUAGACUGAUCGAAACGUGCAAAGGACUCUGCAAAGAGGGUUCAAAGUGCCUGAAGCUGCGGCAGGCGACCGGUGGUGGAUGCUUCCCUGACACAGAGGAUUGCGAUGCGGCCCCGGACCGUGAAGUGGCUGGCGAGACCAUCCGUGGCUCUCGCACAGGCAUUGGCGGUCGUGGGGCCCUUCCCGGCUUUUGGACAAGCGACCUCGGGUCUGGCCUGCGGCUGGCUGCAGAGCCCCACUCUCUGGUGGGAUCGAUUCGCAGUGGCAUUCUGGCAGAGGCACUCCGCCUGUCUGGACCUGGGGGCAUGCAUUUGGUCGCUGUGACCUAUGCCCCGACGGAGAAGAGGCUUCAUUGGCUGGGAUUCUGGAUGGCUUCCGGGCUUGGCUUUGCUCUUUGGUGCUCUGCUGUCCCGCCCGGAGCCGUAACCCAUGUCACGGAGCAUCAUCCUUCGAGAGGGCAAAUGUGGCAAGGCAGAAUGGCCCUGUGGGUGUCCGGUGUGCCCCUGUGUGGUGCACCGGAUGCAUGUGCCUACCAACCGCGCCGGGUGCAAUCAGUGGGAGAGCUAGUGGUGUGCAGGCCCUCCAGGUCUCUCAUCCCGGCUCUCGGUACCCCGGUUGGUGCACAGUGGUGCAAAGGUGUCAAGAGUGGCUUGGCAAGGCAGGGACAUCCCCUGCCCGUCUUGAAACACGGACCAAGGAGUCUAUCGGAGGCCGCAGGCAAUGCUGUGCGUGUAGUCAAAGCUGGUACGGAGCAACUGGUGGCGGGGCCCGCUGUGCCGCCGCCUUGGCCGGGUUUGGCCUCCGCGACCCGACCCAGGCGUGGCAUGCAGCAGUGGCCGCAGCUGCCGAUUCUCCCGAACGUUGCCUGGUUAAAGCGAACGGACCACUUUCUCCGCGGUGCUACUGUGUUUCACCGCGCCUUUGGGGACUCUGAAGAGCGUGUGGCCAUGCCUCUGGGGACUCUGCGCCGCGGUGCUGCCUCUUGGAUCCAUGCGGGAUCUAUGGUGCUGCGUGCCGCAUGUUUCUCCAUGGCGUGCAAUGGCAAACCGAUCUGAUGCAAGAGCUGCCGAGCCUGAAUCCAAUGGACACUGGUUCUGAGUGCGAGGUGUCCUCCAUGGGACCCGAAAGAUGGUGAACUAUACCUGGCUACGGCGAAGCCGUGGGAAACUGCGGUGGAGGCCGGUCGCAAUCCUGACGUGCAAAUCGUGUUGUCUGAGCGGGGCAUAGGGGUGAAAGGCCAAUCGAACCAUCUAGUAGCUGGUUUCCGCCCAAGUUUCCCUCAGGAUAGCUGGGGCUGGGAGUGUGUCCGAACUCGUCGAUCGUGAUGCGGCUUUUGUCCGGUAAAGCAAUGCAUGAGAGGCAUUCUGGGGAGUCUAUCAGUCCUCAACCUAUUCUCAAACUGUGAAUGGGCAAGCAUCGGAGGCACACUUCUCUGCAUCCGGCGUCUGUGUGUGGCGCGUCAAAGGCCAUCCCUGGCCGACGGCGUGCCCAACGCAGUCCGCUGUGCCUGAGUGUGUUUGAGAGAUGGUGGCAGCCUUCUGGCCUCAGCGGGGUGGGGCAUUCUGCCCGGGCAUCCGCUGAGGCCGCUGGGGCCCAACCCGGAACAGUGUGCAGCCCCAUGUGGGCCAUUACUGGUAAGCAGUGCUGGCGAUGCGGGAUGAUCCGAGAGCGCGGUUGCAGGGUUCAAGUGCUGGCUCAUACAUAGAAUCCACAAAGGAUGUUGUCCGCUAGAGAUAGCAGGGCGGUGGCCAUGAAGGUUGGAAUCCGCUUAGGAGUGUGUAACAACCCACCUGCCGAAGCGGGCAGCUUCGAAAAUGGAUGAUGCUCAAGCCAGAGGCGUUGUUUGACUUACACCGCGCCGCUGCUGUGGCAGCAGGGCAGGUGCAGCAGUGCGUAGGCGAGACGCAAGGGUUCGCGGUGCUGGCUCCGGGGUGACCCGGAGGGAAGUAUCCCUUGGUGCAGAUCUUGGUUGCAGUAGCGAGUAUUCUUUCUGGUGGCUCAUGCAGGCUCUCUCUUGCAGAGGCCUGCUGCUGGCCUGAGUGGUUGAGGACUGGAGUGGAGCAGGCUUCCAUACCAACAGCCGUUGAAUAUGGGUCAGUCGAUUGUAAGCCAGAUGGCAAUGCUCACGGAUACGGCAAAGGCUGCAAAGUUCGGGGCCUCUGGCUCCGGGUCGCCCGUCCCGCGGCUGGCGCCGUGCUGGUCCCCCACUGGGUGCCAUGGGGUGCGCGGCGCUGUGCCCUUCGGGUGAAGCUCGGUGCCAGGGCUCUGCCUUGCAGGAGUGGCGAACAGGCAGACGAAUCUAAUAUUCCGACACGCUGGUACCAGGGUCUUGGCUGAUGAUACUCAGAACGCUUUCUCGGAGAGAUUGCUGGGAAGGGCCAGUGGCAACGCUGGUGUUCUCAAGUCCGGUGCUGCGGGGCCGCGUCUCGGUGGCGCCCCUGUGGAGUUGUCUUUUCCAUCUGACAGCUGGAGUGUGUGGGCUAUCCACUGACAUGCUGCAUGGCGACAUAGCUCUCUGCUUGGCAAGAUGGUGCUGCAUUGGUACCAUUGGACUUACGCGUGCCCUGCUCUGAGGGUUUGGCCUCGGCCGACCCGGAAUGCGCCAUGCCUUUGGUGGCCACCGACUCCAUGGAACGCCCUGCGAAGUUGUGCAACAAAGCGUGAACCCUUGGUGACCAAACCGGGACAAGCCCCCAUCUGGGGGCUCUGAUCCGAUUGGAAUGGCUCCGUACCGAAUCACCGCAGCUGGUCUCUUCGGCUAGACGCCGCUGGUCAACAGUGCAAAUGCAGCUAAGGGAAAUCGGCAAACUGGUUGUGUACCUUCGGAAGAUGCGGUGGCUCCAAGGGCCAGGGUGUCAGGCCUGCCCGUCGGGAUUGCACGGAACCCUCCGGGGCUUGGUUGUCCUGUGCCAGGGCUGGCUUCCCAGCCGUCCUCUGGCCGUGGGCGUCCAGGCCCCACCUCAGCCGAAGGCCGCUUCUCCAGCGGGCGUGAUCCUUGUGCCUCGGAACGGCCAAGCACGCCCCGCCGCGGCUCUUGGGUGGAGGCACGGAGCUUUGGGUGUGCAAAGAAGAGAGGCUGUGCCUUCGGGUGCGGCCUGGCUUCAGUUCCCGUGGGCGGGGAGAUGGCCGACCUGAGACGUCGGCCCCAUCCGUGGCACCCACGUGUGGUCUACUCGGAACUGUGUACUACGCAGGGGAAUCUGACUGUUUAAUUGAAACACAGCUUUGCGAUGGGACCUGCUGGCUGGUUCCGCGAGGUGACUUCUGCCCAGUGCUCUGAUUGUCAAUGCAAAGAGAUUUAGCCAAGCGCGGGUAAACGGCGGGAGUAACUAUGACUCUCUUAAGGUAGCCAAAUGCCUCGUCGACUGAUUAUUGACGCGCAUGAAUGGAUCAACGAGAUUCCUGCUGUCCCUAGAUGCUGGCUGGUGAACCAACCGCCAAGGGAACGGGCUUGGCUGUUCCAGCGGGGAAAGAAGAGCCUGU